This 481-nucleotide ribosomal RNA is filed under the name uncultured bacterium. RNAcentral's name for it is "bacterial SSU rRNA". It matches the Rfam family "Bacterial small subunit ribosomal RNA", at positions 501 to 981 of the family's 1533-position model. The record is from RNAcentral.
CUACGUGCCAGCAGCCGCGGUAAUACGUAGGUGGCAAGCGUUGUCCGGAAUUAUUGGGCGUAAAGCGCGCGCAGGCGGAUCAGUCAGUCUGUCUUAAAAGUUCGGGGCUUAACCCCGUGAUGGGAUGGAAACUGCUGAUCUAGAGUAUCGGAGAGGAAAGUAGAAUUCCUAGUGUAGCGGUGAAAUGCGUAGAUAUUAGGAAGAACACCAGUGGCGAAGGCGACUUUCUGGACGAAAACUGACGCUGAGGCGCGAAAGCCAGGGGAGCGAACGGGAUUAGAUACCCCGGUAGUCCUGGCCGUAAACGAUGGGUACUAGGUGUAGGAGGUAUCGACCCCUUCUGUGCCGGAGUUAACGCAAUAAGUACCCCGCCUGGGGAGUACGACCGCAAGGUUGAAACUCAAAGGAAUUGACGGGGGCCCGCACAAGCGGUGGAGUAUGUGGUUUAAUUCGACGCAACGCGAAGAACCUUACCAGGUCU